RNAcentral lists this unclassified non-coding RNA (720 nucleotides) under Hevea brasiliensis (rubber tree). Lineage: Eukaryota; Viridiplantae; Streptophyta; Magnoliopsida; Malpighiales; Euphorbiaceae. The record is from RNAcentral.
CCACCUGUUCAUGGGCAGUUGGUGAAUGCUACCAAGUUUUUUUUGUGCCAUAAAAAUUCUUUUGGAAAAGGAUUGGUCUGUCAUAGUGCAACAUUUGUAUCUUGAGGGUGCAGCUCUAGCUGACUGGCAUACAAACUUUGAUUCUUCUUCACUGCUGGAGAUGCAUGUUGUCAAUGCUCUGGCUUCUAGGGCUGCACAGGUGUUGGUCUGUGAUUUAGUAGGUGUUGCUUUUCCUUGCAUGUGUAUGAUUUAGCUUUUGGGGCUUUUGCCCUGUUAGUAAAAAUAAAAAGGAUACGGGCGGAACUUUCUUUUGUAAGGAAGUUUAGAAAAUGGAAGACAAGGGAGCCUAUUGAUAGGUGGUUUUCUUUUCUCGGAGUAUUUGAUUCCAUUUUUACUAUGGAUAAUAUGGAAGAGAGGUUUCUCCUUGGACAGUGUGUUAAUUUGUAAAAAGGAGUAGCAAAUGGCAGCCUUUUGCUUGUUCUCUGUGAAGUUGCUGUGGAUCUGUGGGCAUUGAUUUAAGCUUCCAUUGGUUUAUAGUGGUUGCUUUUGAGGAUAAUGAAAGAAUUCUGGAUGGGUGGUACUGCUGAGUUAUUCCUAAAGAGGGGAAGAAAAUGUAAAAAUUUAGCCUAUGCUCUUCCAAACUUGGCUACAAUUAACACCAAAGUAAAAGGAAUGGAAGAAAUUAAAAGGAGUGGCCAUAAUUACAAAUUUCACCAAAGG